RNAcentral lists this ribosomal RNA (322 nucleotides) under uncultured bacterium. Its description in RNAcentral is "bacterial SSU rRNA". It matches the Rfam family "Bacterial small subunit ribosomal RNA", at positions 345 to 666 of the family's 1533-position model. The record is from RNAcentral.
GAGGCAGCAGUGAGGAAUAUUGGUCAAUGGCCGAGAGGCUGAACCAGCCAAGUCGCGUGAGGGAUGAAGGUUUAUGGAUCGUAAACCUCUUUUAUAAGGGAAUAAGUGCGGGACGUGUCCCGUUUUGUAUGUACCUUAUGAAUAAGGAUCGGCUAACUCCGUGCCAGCAGCCGCGGUAAUACGGAGGAUCCGAGCGUUAUCCGGAUUUAUUGGGUUUAAAGGGUGCGUAGGCGGCCUUUUAAGUCAGCGGUGAAAGUCUGUGGCUCAACCAUAGAAUUGCCGUUGAAACUGGGGGGCUUGAGUAUGUUUGAGGCAGGCGGAA